This 63-nucleotide non-coding RNA is filed under the name Serratia sp. (in: enterobacteria). RNAcentral describes it as "Serratia sp. Fluoride sequence". It matches the Rfam family "Fluoride riboswitch aptamer (crcB RNA motif)". Lineage: Bacteria; Pseudomonadati; Pseudomonadota; Gammaproteobacteria; Enterobacterales; Yersiniaceae. The record is from RNAcentral.
AAAGCUGUUGGAGAUGACAUUCCUCCCAAACCGCCUUCACCGGCUGAUGAUGUCUACGAAAUC